GAUGAACGCUGGCGGCGUGCCUAACACAUGCAAGUCGAGCGAAGCACUCUACCUGAUUUCUUCGGGAUGAAGGUUUAGUGACUGAGCGGCCGGACGGGUGAGUAACGCGUGGGUAACCUGCCUCAUACAGGGGGAUAACAGUUAGAAAUGACUGCUAACUACCGCAUAAGACCACCAGCACCGCAUGGUGCAGGGGUAAAAACUCCGGUAGGUAUGAGAUGGAUCCGCGUCUGAUUAGCUAGUUGGUAAGGUAACGGCUUACCAAGGCAACGAUCAGUAGCCGACCUGAGAGGGUGACCGGCCACAUUGGGACUGAGACACGGCCCAA
RNAcentral lists this ribosomal RNA (328 nucleotides) under uncultured bacterium. Its description in RNAcentral is "bacterial SSU rRNA". It matches the Rfam family "Bacterial small subunit ribosomal RNA", at positions 28 to 334 of the family's 1533-position model. The record is from RNAcentral.